This 237-nucleotide long non-coding RNA is filed under the name Helianthus annuus (common sunflower). RNAcentral's name for it is "hypothetical non coding rna". Lineage: Eukaryota; Viridiplantae; Streptophyta; Magnoliopsida; Asterales; Asteraceae. The record is from RNAcentral.
AUCAUCGAUUCCGGCGAGAGAGAGAGAAGUGAUCGUUCUUGGUCUGUGAAGACAGAUCUGAUCGUUCUUGGUCGGAACUAAACAGUGAACCUCUGUUCUACAGAUCUGAUGUGGCCAUUUCGUGAUAUGACCACCACCAUCAUCGAUUCCGGCGCGCGCGAGAGGGAGAAGGGGGAAGUGGACUGUUACCGGUGGGUACAAAUUUUGAGGCAGUGAAAUGUUGGCGGUGGGGGAGUG